GCAAGUCGAGCGGACAGAAGGGAGCUUGCUCCCGGAUGUUAGCGGCGGACGGGUGAGUAACACGUGGGUAACCUGCCUGUAAGACUGGGAUAACUCCGGGAAACCGGAGCUAAUACCGGAUAGUUCCUUGAACCGCAUGGUUCAAGGAUGAAAGACGGUUUCGGCUGUCACUUACAGAUGGACCCGCGGCGCAUUAGCUAGUUGGUGGGGUAAUGGCUCACCAAGGCGACGAUGCGUAGCCGACCUGAGAGGGUGAUCGGCCACACUGGGACUGAGACACGGCCCAGACUCCUACGGGAGGCAGCAGUAGGGAAUCUUCCGCAAUGGACGAAAGUCUGACGGAGCAACGCCGCGUGAGUGAUGAAGGUUUUCGGAUCGUAAAGCUCUGUUGUUAGGGAAGAACAAGUGCGAGAGUAACUGCUCGCACCUUGACGGUACCUAACCAGAAAGCCACGGCUAACUACGUGCCAGCAGCCGCGGUAAUACGUAGGUGGCAAGCGUUGUCCGGAAUUAUUGGGCGUAAAGGGCUCGCAGGCGGUUUCUUAAGUCUGAUGUGAAAGCCCCCGGCUCAACCGGGGAGGGUCAUUGGAAACUGGGAAACUUGAGUGCAGAAGAGGAGAGUGGAAUUCCACGUGUAGCGGUGAAAUGCGUAGAGAUGUGGAGGAACACCAGUGGCGAAGGCGACUCUCUGGUCUGUAACUGACGCUGAGGAGCGAAAGCGUGGGGAGCGAACAGGAUUAGAUACCCUGGUAGUCCACGCCGUAAACGAUGAGUGCU
This 777-nucleotide ribosomal RNA is filed under the name Bacillaceae bacterium GUDS1107. Its description in RNAcentral is "bacterial SSU rRNA". It matches the Rfam family "Bacterial small subunit ribosomal RNA", at positions 57 to 817 of the family's 1533-position model. The record is from RNAcentral. Lineage: Bacteria; Bacillati; Bacillota; Bacilli; Caryophanales; Bacillaceae.